UUUUGAGAAUAAGCAUGAUGAAAAAGAAAUCUCUGAUUCAAGACGUGUUGAUUCUUCUUCCAUGAAGAAAGCCAGAGUAGUUUGCACUGUCGAUCUUCAUCAAAAAUUUGUCAAGGCUGUAAACCAGAUUGGAUUUGACGUGAUAUAAGUUACAAGUGAAGAGAAAUGAAAGACACACACGCAUACACACAGAAAACAUUGAACAUUAGCUCGAGAAUUCAUGAAGUGCUGUUGCCUGGACAUGUGUCGUGAAGAAGAUCGAUAAAUUUAAGUAUGUUAUAUAUUUUUCCCCUUCUCUAUGUUUCAACAUGAUCAAAUGUGCUUUUAUAACUGUCUAAAAACUGAAACUAUGGGAGGUUAAUUUUAAAUUUAUUUUAUUCUUUAUCUUAUUUCAAAUCCUCCUCUUUGCAUCCGAGAUGAGAAGUAUAAGUUAAAAAUCAAGAAUUAAAUUAUUAUUAUAUUGCCCUUCAUAGCUCAACAAACUAAAGGCAGAACUUCAGCUUCCAAUACAAUAGAGGGUAAUUGUGAAAAAAGAGUAGGGACUUCAAAUUGCUUAUAUGAAGAGGUUGAAUUCUUUAUUGUGAAAGUUGAGUUCUCAUAAACUUUUAUUCAGAAUUGAGAGUUAUUAGUACUUUUAGUUCAUCGAUAAAAGUUGUCCACCUGCCAGAUAUAAGUUAUUAUUCCAAAAUUGCUUCUCUUUCUCACUUUCCCAGUGUUUGAGCUGACGGCCUGGUAUAAUUAUGAUUCUAAUCUAUUAUCAAGGUAUUGUAGACUUUGCACAUCAAUCCAAGUAGCAGUCAUUGUGGCAAAGGUUGCUUUGCACUAGAAAUAUGUUAACAAACAGCGAUAAUUGAAAUCAUCUUCCUAAAACUUGGAUUUGUAGACAUUAGGUUGUUUGAGUUAUUUCUUAAAGAUAUUUUUAAAUUUAGCAAUUCUUUUAAUCAGUUGGUCAUUGGGACAACUCUGGUGGAGAAGUUGAAGGAUUUUGUGCUAGAACUAGAGUUUUCAUAAGAGGGAAUCAUCCAGUUGAGGAUCUAGUAUUCUUGCCUUCUCCGGUGAGUGACAAUUGAGUUGUUUUUUUUGCUAUAUUGUCACAGGUUGAUUGUUGUAUGUGAGCUUAUUGUACUUGAUAUGAAUUGGGUUGUUAGUUAGUUUCUUGUACAAUUGAUCAGUACAUAAUUGAUGUUUAUAUUAAAAAAAAAAAAAAAAAGGGCAGCCCGGUGCACUAAGCAUAGCGCGAGGUCUGGGGAAGGGCCGGACCACAAGGGUCUAUUGUAUGCAGCCUUACCUUGCAUUUCUACAAGAGGCUGUUCCCACGGCUCGAACCUGUGACUUCCUGGUCACAUGGCAGCAACUUUACCAGUUACGCCAAGGCUCCCCUUCAAUUGAUGUUUAUAUUAAUAUCUUAAAAAUAUACUACAUUGUUUCCGUUCCUUGCCUCUAUAAUACUUUCUUAUAGAAUGUUAGUAACGAUGUUUUGCAAAAUCUGCAGGAAGUUGAUGGAGCAUCAUAUGAUCCUAAGUUAGAUAUAUAACAUGAAAAUUAUGCUCCCAAUUAAUUAUUAUCUGGUUCCACUUUUAUCUCUGAUUGACCAUGCAGGAUUUAUUUGUCGUGUGAUACAAGCUAAGUUUGAGCUAACAUUAAGAUGAAUUUACUUGAUGACUACUGCUUUCUUACAACAAUAUAUAUCGACCAUACUGCAUGGCAGUUGAAAAAAUAUGGACAAAAUAAAAUUAAUUUUGUAAUGUUUAGUAAAGUAUGUGGGAUUUCACUGGGUAUGUUGUUGUAACACUUAGUCAAAUAUGGAAGAAUUUCCAAAGAAUCUCAAUAUAUUUUGCAGCCACCUAUUCUCCUUUGUCAUAUAAUUUAGCCCAUGGUACGACCAAGAGCAAUUCCGUAAAUUACACUGGGUAUCCUGAUCCACACGUGGGCCUUUUGAGUUUCCACGGGGUACUGCAAAAGAUAUCCAGUUGCAUUCACUCUUAUACCUUCGCUAAACCAAAAAGGCUCUGUUUUUUCAGAGAAGAAAAAGGUAUGUUUCUCUUUCUGAGUUUCUGUAUAGUUCUUUCUUUUGCUUUCUCAAUUUCUUCUUCUUCGUUUCCUUUGUUUAAGGGGCAUUUUGGUACUUCAUUAGCUUUAAAACACAUUUUCUUCUUUCCUAAAUCUAUAUAGACAUCUUUCUUACUGUUGCAGUUCAUGGAAGAUAUGCUGCUGGAUUCCUCAAAUUCUGCUAUAGUGACACUUUAUGUUGGCUCAAGAGGCAACUUGAGGAUUCUUGUGAGCCUGCACAAGGGCUGGCCUCACUCUGAUUUUUCGGUGAACGUGUGGUAGGGUACUCCUUUCCGUUUGGGUAGCAUGCAUAUUCAAGUACUGUUAUGUGCAUAAGAAAUGGAUUCUGCAUCAUUUAGCUCCAGAACACACAGCUCCUUCAAGGAAGUGGCUAAAUGGAAUAUCUGUGUGUUCACACAACUCUUUUAAUGGCCCGGAGUCUUUUUUAAAGCUAUAAUGGAGCACAAACAUGGAUCUGCCAUGGACAAUGUUUUGAAUACAUAUGUUAGCACAUAAUAGGCACCUCCAGAUUGAUUACUCAAGCAAGUAUUUGUUGGACAAAUAGUUUAAUAUUCUAUUCCAGUAUUUUUUAGUUGUUGCACUACUUCAUUUGUAGAUUUCUCAAUCCUGACUUCACUGAUAUUUACAUGUUUUUCUCAGGUUCCUCGACAUGUCCCUAUGCUAUGGUUUUUUGUAAUGCAGAAGAUUGGCUACUGAGAUUGGAACUUCGUCCACCACACUACAACUGUUAAAUUAGGAUUUCCUCAUGAUGUAUCUUAUAGAUACAUUUGGUGUAUUAUGUCUACAAUAAUAAGUAGUAGUUAUAUUUUUGGUGUAUUACGUCUACAAUAACAAUGCUUGCAAAUGGUUUAACUAAACAGUACUUGUGUUUGUUGUACGUAUUGUGAAUAUAUAUAGUAGUAUUCUAUUAAGCAUGUAUUGCAGUAAUCUUGUGCUCAAUUAACUUAGAUGCUAUUAAACGUUGGUGUUUGCUGCUUUAUUCUUUGAUCAUAUCUAAAUGUUGCAGGAAACAUUAAGUAUUCUCAUUGAUUAAUGUCACCUAUAGGUUAUCAAAAUGCCAGGGACUUGUGAGAAAUUACACGUUCGUCCUCUUUAAACUUUUGUCGCUAAUAUUGUUAAUUUGGCAACUCUCAUCAUUGUUGUUUAUCUAUUCAUACCAAAGAAAUCUCAUUAAUUCUGUCCAUAAUUGCAUAUAUUCUUUUGGUGCAUAUCCUAUCUUAAGACUUAUAUGAGAUCACGUUUUAUGAAUUAACUGUUUUUUUUUUUUUUUUUUUUUUGCCUCCCAUCCUUUUUUCUCUGUCUUGGGUAUGGCAUCGUAGAGCAAAAGGGGAAACACCAAAUGAGAACAGAACCUUGCACGUUACAAGGGUAUUCACGACUGAAGAAUUUCUCAAUAAGGCCUGUUUUAUUGUACAUAGUCUAUUUCUUACUUGGUCUAAAACACAUAUACAAAUUAAUUAUGACGGGCCCGUUGGAUUGUGAAGUGAUAUUGUUUACAUAAAAGUACAUUUAAGCCGGAAUUUUCAGCCCGCGCUCACUAUCCCUUUUAGUUGUUCAGCAAAUGAAUGUGCAUAGUAUCAUUUCUAUUUUGUAAAUGUAGUCAACUUGGGGCUAUUACUUUUUUUCUUUUUCUUUUUUGUGUGGUCCUACUACACAUUAAAGUAAGUAUGAAAUUAUCUUCGCUAAUAUCGGACCUCUUUUGUGCAGUGAUUUAGGCAUAAGCCCGUGCAGCUAUCUAGUAUAUAUUAGAAAUGACAGUUUGGGGUGGGCGAACAGGGACGAACAGGGAUAGUUUGGUAAUUACGUGUUCAUUUAGGGAUUAAUUGGUAAUUUGAUUAUCAUUCUUUUCAACGAAAACACGUGAUCUGCAUCUUUCAUUUUGUGUGAACACGUGUGCAAUUGUGACUUGUACAAAAUUUAAUAAGAGUUGUAUUCUUUUGAAAAUACUGCUUGAAUGAAAACAGGUUUCCCACACGUGUCAUAACCGCUUUCUUCCUUCAUAUUUCUUCUUCCGCGAAGUUCUCGACUUCUUCAGAGAGGAUCGACGAGUGUUGUUGAUUGCCGAAGCUUUUUCAUUCUCUAUCGACUUCUUCUUCUUCUCCGAGUUUUCUUUUGUGAUUUUCUCUGUUUUUGCACUCCUGUGUCUCCUAUCUUCGAUUUCUUUAGUUCCAAUGGAUUUGUUGUUGUUUCAAUUGAUAAAUUGGGGUUUUGAUCUUUCAUGAAGACCAAGAUUAUUGUGAAACAGAAAGAAAAUCUUAAUCUUGAAAGGUGACGGGAAUGGCAGGGAGUCCUAUUUUUUCCUCUUCUCAUUCGUAUCCUCCAUCUUCAUUCGCAACUGACUCCCAUAGCAUAAAUUGAAUUUACUGAAGGCUAUUGUGCAGUCGAUGGCAUCAAGAAAAACUCAAUAGGAAAGAAUAGACAAAGGCUAUGUCAAUAAAAUUCCCCAAAGUUGGGCUUGCAUUAGAGGCAACGGGGUUGAUGAAAAUCAAGGCGAGGUAGAUAAAGAGUAGAUCACUAGACGUCAUUUUUGAAUUUCUGAAAGUCUACAUUCGCUGAAAAGUCAAUUCUUUUGGCUUGAAUAUGGGCAAGAUAGGAAGUGGUUGUUUCCAUCAGUGAAGAAAGUUGUCAAACAUUCUCCCAAGGAUUCAUCAGAAAAGAAGGUUUGCUAAAGAAUUCGAUUAUUCUAAGAUCGUAUUUGGUGGUACCUCAAAAUCUC
Lycium barbarum (goji berry) is the source of this 4786-nucleotide RNA transcript. It is a transcript of the gene named two-component response regulator ARR11-like, with no coding region annotated. The record is from RefSeq and is a predicted model, not a curated record. The transcript is spliced from 8 exons. Lineage: Eukaryota; Viridiplantae; Streptophyta; Magnoliopsida; Solanales; Solanaceae.